UCCGGUUUGUCACCGGCAGUCUCCUUAGAGUUCCCGACUUUACUCGCUGGCAACUAAGGACAAGGGUUGCGCUCGUUGCGGGACUUAACCCAACAUCUCACGACACGAGCUGACGACAGCCAUGCAGCACCUGUGCACGCUGGUAUUGCUACCUCGUCCCCCUUUCAGGGUUCUACUACAUGCAUGUCAAGGCCAGGUAAGGUUCUUCGCGUUGCAUCGAAUUAAGCCACAUACUCCACCGCUUGUGCAGGCCCCCGUCAAUUUCUUUGAGUUUUAAUCUUGCGACCGUACUCCCCAGGCGGCAUAUUUAUCGCGUUAGCUUCGCCACAAACGGGGUCGAUUCCGUUUACAGCAAAUAUGCACAGUUUAGGGCUAGGACUAC
RNAcentral lists this unclassified non-coding RNA (382 nucleotides) under uncultured bacterium. RNAcentral describes it as "contains 16S-23S intergenic spacer region". The record is from RNAcentral.